RNAcentral lists this ribosomal RNA (369 nucleotides) under uncultured phototrophic eukaryote. RNAcentral describes it as "SSU rRNA". It matches the Rfam family "Bacterial small subunit ribosomal RNA", at positions 524 to 896 of the family's 1533-position model. The record is from RNAcentral.
UACGGGGGAUGCAAGCGUUAUCCGGAAUCAUUGGGCGUAAAGCGCCUGUAGGUUGUUUAAUAAGUCUGUUGUUAAAGACUAGGGCUUAACCCUAGAAAAGCAAUGGAAACUACUAGACUUGAGUAUGGCAGGGGUAGAGGGAAUUUCUAGUGUAGCGGUGAAAUGCGUAGAUAUUAGAAAGAACACCAGUGGCGAAAGCGCUCUACUGGACCAUUACUGACACUCAGAGGCGAAAGCUAGGGUAGCAAAAGGGAUUAGAUACCCCUGUAGUCCUAGCCGUAAACGAUGGAUACUAGAUGUUGCAUUUAAUUUGCAGUGUCGUAGCUAACGCGUUAAGUAUCCCGCCUGGGGAGUACGCUCGCAAGGGUG